This 406-nucleotide ribosomal RNA is filed under the name uncultured bacterium. RNAcentral describes it as "partial 16S ribosomal RNA". It matches the Rfam family "Bacterial small subunit ribosomal RNA", at positions 30 to 526 of the family's 1533-position model. The record is from RNAcentral.
AUUGAACGCUAGCGGCAGGCCUAACACAUGCAAGUCGAACGAGUGGCGGACGGGUGAGUAAUAUAUGGGAAACUGCCUGAUAGCGGGGGCUAACUAAUGGAAAGGGAAGCUAAUACCGCAUACCAUGCGAGGGGCCGAUAGAGGAUUAUCUAGUUGGUGGGGUAACGGCUCAACAAGGCGACAAUCCCUAGCUGGUCUGAGCGGAUGACCAUCCACACUGGUACUGAGACACGGCCCAGACUCCUACGGGAGGCAGCAGUGGGGAAUAUUGAACAAUGGGCGAAACCCUGAUGCAGCCAUGCCGCGUGUAUGAAGAAGGCCUUCGGGUUGUAAAGUACUUUCAGCGGGGAGGCGUUACCUGCAGAAGAAGCACCGGCUAACUCCGUGCCAGCCGCCGCGGUAAUUC